This 253-nucleotide ribosomal RNA is filed under the name uncultured bacterium. Its description in RNAcentral is "partial 16S ribosomal RNA". It matches the Rfam family "Bacterial small subunit ribosomal RNA", at positions 524 to 776 of the family's 1533-position model. The record is from RNAcentral.
UACAGAGGUCUCAAGCGUUGUUCGGAUUCAUUGGGCGUAAAGGGUGCGUAGGCGGCGCGGUAAGUCGGGUGUGAAAUCUUGGAGCUUAACUCCGAAACUGCAUUCGAUACUGCCGUGCUUGAGGACUGGAGAGGAGACUGGAAUUUACGGUGUAGCGGUGAAAUGCGUAGAUAUCGUAAGGAAGACCAGUGGCGAAGGCGGGUCUCUGGACAGUUCCUGACGCUGAGGCACAAAGGCCAGGGGAGCAAACGGG